UAGGGAAUAUUAGAAAUGGACGAAAGUCUGAUCUAGCGACACCGCGUGUGCGAUGAAGGCCUUCGGGUUGUAAAGCACUUUUUGGAAGGAAUAGGAAGGAAGGUACUUCCAGAAUAAGUCUCGGCUAACUACGUGCCAGCAGCCGCGGUAACACGUAGGAGGCAAACGUUAUCCGGAUUUACUGGGCGUAAAGCGCGUGUAGGUGGUUUUGUAAGUAGGGCGUGAAAGCUCCCGGCUCAACUGGGAGAGGCCGUUCUAAACUGCAGAACUAGAGGAUGGUAGAGGGAGGUGGAAUUCCAGGUGUAGCGGUGGAAUGCGCAGAUAUCUGGAGGAACACCAGUGGCGAAAGCGGCCUCCUGGACCAUUCCUGACACUCAGACGCGAAAGCUAGGGUAGCAAACGG
Molecule: ribosomal RNA, 403 nt
Filed under: uncultured bacterium
Lineage: Bacteria
Description: bacterial SSU rRNA
Rfam family: Bacterial small subunit ribosomal RNA
Source: RNAcentral